Molecule: non-coding RNA, 73 nt
Organism: Phrynosoma platyrhinos (Desert horned lizard)
Lineage: Eukaryota; Metazoa; Chordata; Lepidosauria; Squamata; Phrynosomatidae
Source: the annotation of a GenBank genome assembly
GGCCAACAUGGUGUAGUGGUUUGAAUGUUGAACUACAAUUCUAGAGACCAAGGUUCGAAUCCCUGCUCGACCA